RNAcentral lists this ribosomal RNA (497 nucleotides) under uncultured bacterium. RNAcentral describes it as "partial 16S ribosomal RNA". It matches the Rfam family "Bacterial small subunit ribosomal RNA", at positions 28 to 507 of the family's 1533-position model. The record is from RNAcentral.
GAUGAACGCUGGCGGCGUGCCUAAUACAUGCAAGUCGAGCGAACAGACGAGGAGCUUGCUCCUUUGACGUUAGCGGCGGACGGGUGAGUAACACGUAGGUCACCUACUUAUAAGACUGGGAUAACUUCGGGAAACCGGAGCUAAUACCGGCUAAUAUUUCGAACCGCAUGGUUCGAUAGUGAAAGAUGCCUUUGCCAUCACUAAUAGAUGGACCUGCGCCGUAUUAGCUAGUUGGUAAGGUAACGGCUUACCAAGGCAACGAUACGUAGCCGACCUGAGAGGGUGAUCGGCCACACUGGAACUGAGACACGGUCCAGACUCCUACGGGAGGCAGCAGUAGGGAAUCUUCCGCAAUGGGCGAAAGCCUGAUGGAGCAACGCCGCGUGAGUGAUGAAGGUCUUCGGAUCGUAAAACUCUGUUAUUAGGAAAGAACAAACGUAUAAGUAACUGUGGACGUCUUGACGGUACCUAAUCAGAAAGCCACGGCUAACUACGUG